AACUUGCAGUGAUGAUUAUGACUUCAUGUCAUCUUCCUGAAAACGUGAUGGUACUAAGUCACUACCUCAUCUGAGCUUAUA
Small nucleolar RNA from Cynoglossus semilaevis (tongue sole), 81 nucleotides. RefSeq annotates it as small nucleolar RNA SNORD11B. The record is from RefSeq and is a predicted model, not a curated record. NCBI's taxonomy places the organism in Eukaryota, Metazoa, Chordata, Actinopteri, Pleuronectiformes, Cynoglossidae. The transcript has a single exon.